RNAcentral lists this unclassified non-coding RNA (541 nucleotides) under Bartonella sp. H3. RNAcentral's name for it is "partial 16S-23S ribosomal RNA intergenic spacer". The stretch from base 102 to 175 matches the Rfam family "tRNA". Lineage: Bacteria; Pseudomonadati; Pseudomonadota; Alphaproteobacteria; Hyphomicrobiales; Bartonellaceae. The record is from RNAcentral.
AUCCGCGAUAAGUUCUUUGUAGAACUUUAAGAAAAGCAUUUUCCAUUAAAAGAAUGCUUUCAUGUGAUAAUGCCGGGGAAGGUUUUCCGGUUUAUCCCGGAGGGCUUGUAGCUCAGUUGGUUAGAGCGCGCGCUUGAUAAGCGUGAGGUCGGAGGUUCAAGUCCUCCCAGGCCCACCAAUUAUCCAUCCAUAGAAAAGCGCUUAGAAAGUUUGACUGUUAACAGGUCAACGUUGUUUUGUAGGACGCCAAUAUUGUCUUGAAAAAGAGCUUUCUUGUAAAGUUUGAGAAAACUUGUUUAUCGCUUUUUGUAAGAUGUGGUGUUUGUCUGCUUUUAAAGCGAUCGAAACUGAAAGUGUUUCAAAGAUAAGAGUCUUGGAACAGAAGAGUCUUGGAAUAGAAAAGAAUAUAAAGUCUAGGUGGUAUUACAUAGUCUAGAGUUAAAUUGUUCAUGAUUGGAACAUUUCAUAUUGAAAUGCUGCGAUAUAAAGGUUUCGAAUAAAUUAUUCCGUUUUGGGGCCGUAGCUCAGCUGGGAGAGCACC